UACGUAGGGUGCAAGCGUUAUCCGGAAUUAUUGGGCGUAAAGAGCUCGUAGGCGGUUUGUCGCGGUCUGCUGUGAAAACUGGGGCGCUCAACCCCUCAGCCUGCAGUGGGUACGGGCAGACUAGAGUGCGGUAGGGGAGACUGGAAUUCCUGGUGUAGCGGUGGAAUGCGCAGAUAUCGAGGAGGAACACCGGUGGCGAAGGCGGGUCUCUGGGCAGUAACUGACGCUGAGGAGCGAAAGCGUGGGGAGCGAACAGG
This 257-nucleotide ribosomal RNA is filed under the name uncultured bacterium. RNAcentral describes it as "partial 16S ribosomal RNA". It matches the Rfam family "Bacterial small subunit ribosomal RNA", at positions 524 to 776 of the family's 1533-position model. The record is from RNAcentral.